This 749-nucleotide unclassified non-coding RNA is filed under the name Litsea rotundifolia var. oblongifolia. RNAcentral describes it as "partial contains small subunit ribosomal RNA, internal transcribed spacer 1, 5.8S ribosomal RNA, internal transcribed spacer 2, and large subunit ribosomal RNA". The stretch from base 306 to 461 matches the Rfam family "5.8S ribosomal RNA". The record is from RNAcentral. Lineage: Eukaryota; Viridiplantae; Streptophyta; Magnoliopsida; Laurales; Lauraceae.
UUAUCAUUUAGAGGAAGGAGAAGUCGUAACAAGGUUUCCAUAGGUGAACCUGUGGAAGGAUCAUUGUCGUCUCUGGAACCACCACCGGCGAACCAGUCCCGCGGAAAUGCCACUCGAGUACGCGGCCCCUGGUGAUGACCCGGGGGCGCACGUCCCGACGAGCUCCGAACAACCCCUUCAGGCGCGGCAUCGCCUAGGAAUAGAAGCAGAAAGGGCAGCCGCCUCACCCGGUGCUAGCGCGCCCCCAUCCAGGGACGCUGCAUCGCCAUGGGGAUCCACCGCCCGUCUGUGAACCAUUUAUAGAUGACUCUCGGCAACGGAUAUCUCGGCUCUCACAUCGAUGAAGAAUGUAACGAAAUGCGAUACUUGGUGUGAAUUGCAGAAUCCCAAGAUCCAUCGAGUCUUUGAAUGCAAGUUACUCCCGAGGCCACUCGGCCGAGGGCAUGCCUGCUUGGGCGUCACGCCACCCAUCGCCCCCUCUCGCAGCAUUCCCAUGCCCGACCGGGGAGCAGAGACUGGCCGUCCGUGCCCGAGUCCUCGGCGCACGGCGCGCGGUUGGCAGAAAAGGAGGGCACCGUGCGGCGCAACACGACGUGUGGGGGUUGAGAGGCGAUCUGUCUCUGAUCGUACGUCGCCCCCGCAUUCCGCUGCGCGUAGUGUCACCCGUGGGACCAGACUAGCCCGCAGCCGCGGGCGCUCGGACCGCAACCCCAAGUCAAGCGUGGCCACCCGCUGAAUUUAAGCAUAUC